AUGGAGUACGUGGCCGUGCGGGCUCCGACUCCGAUGAGCCGCAGGACUCGCCAUGCUUACCAACUCGCCGCCGAUCCUACUGUUCUUCCUCCUCCUCCGUUGCAGACGACGACGACGGGCAACGGCGUGGAACAGCACAAUCAGAGACGCAUGGAUCUUGAGCACGAGGUGGCGGAGCUGAAGCAGCAGCUGAGCAACGAGGAGACGGUGCACCACAUCCUGGAGCGCGCCCUGCGCCCAACCACCACCACCUCCUCCUCCUCCUCCGCGCGUUCCGUCCUCCUCAACAUCCCGGCCUUCAUCCCGGCCAAGGCCAAGCAGCUGCUCGCGGAGCUCGUGCUCGUCGAGGAAGAGAUCGCGCGGCUCGAGUCGCAGAUCCACACGAUGAAGGGCGGCCUAAUUACCACCGCGCAGCAGCAACGGGCGUCCAUGGCGACCACCACCUGUGCCUCCUCCUACUCGCCAAGUGUCUACACCAGCAACGGCAAUGGCAAUGGCAAUGGCAACAGCAACGGCACGGCGGCAUACGCGGCAUCAAAUCGUCAGCCGGCUGAUCAGGUGGCGCCGGAGAUCAAGUCCAUGUUCUUCAUCAGCCAGGCCAUGAACGCCGAGUACCUCCAGCGCCAUCUUGCCGCCGACGACAAGCCGGACAGGAGCCCCAAAGACCAGACCAGAGGAUCGGGAGCCGCCGCCAUCAGCCUAAAGUUCAACGAUGACAUCAUUGGCCCCCCGCCAAGGAAUUCCCAUGACAAGAAGCAAUCGAAUAGCGCAGACGAAAAACCACCGAGGGUCACCCAAGAACCUUCGCCGCCGCCGCUGACGGCGAAGAGGGACGAGCAGAGCAAGGUCCAGCCGAACAAGCUGUCGGAGAGGAUCGUGAAAUGCCUGGCGGUGAUCUUCAUCAGGCUGCUCCGGUCGUCGCGGGCGGCGGAGAUGGACAAAUCCGGCAACCUCGCCAGGUCCGGGAACCUGCAGGGGAGCUUCAGGAUCGACGCGGCGCUGAACGUGGCGGCGGGCGCCGCCAAGGAGAAGGACAGGGGGCAGCAGGAUCACUACGGCAUCUUCGGGAUACAGGACUCCAUGGUCAGAGACAUCGGCCCCUACAAGAAUCUCGUCAGGUUCACCUCCAGCGCCUUCGACCUCAGAGGGUUCUCCAGCUCCCCUCUGCUCACCAAGCUGAGGGAGAUGUUGGAGGCCUUGCAGCAGGUGAAUUUAAGUAUUCUCACACACCAGCAGAAGCUAGCAUUCUGGCUCAACAUAUACAACACAUGCAUCAUGCACGGGAUUCUGCAGCAUGGUUUGCCCUCAAACUCUGAAAAGCUGCUAGCACUGAAGAACAAGGCAACGAUAAAUGUUUCAGGGCAGAAGUUCAAUGCUCUGGUAAUAGAGAAUUUCAUCUUGAGACAGCCAUCCAGUGUGAAAGAAGAAUUCUGGAAAUGCGACGUCGAUGUUGAAGAGCAACAAGUGAGGAGUCUCUACGGAUUGAACAGUUCAGAGCCCAACAUUCUGUUCGCGAUGUGCUGUGGCACCAGAUCUUCUCCAGCACUCCGGAUAUACAAGGCGGAUCGCUUGAUGGCGGAUCUGGAGAAGGCGAAGCUGGACUACCUGCAGGCGUCGCUGGUGGUGACCUCGACGAGGAGGCUGAUGAUCCCAAGCCUGAUACACUCCAACACGCACGACUUUGCCAAGGACAUGGAGUCCCUGCUCAGGUGGAUCUGUGACCAGCUCCCCACAUCUUGGUCGCUCAGAAAAUCCAUGGCGGACUGCUUGAGGGGGCAUCUGAAGGUCGAAGACGUCGUGGAGGUGAUCCCAUACGACUAUGAGUUUCAGUACCUGCUGCCCAAGUGA
Molecule: ribosomal RNA, 1848 nt
Filed under: Triticum aestivum (bread wheat)
Lineage: Eukaryota; Viridiplantae; Streptophyta; Magnoliopsida; Poales; Poaceae
Description: partial small subunit ribosomal RNA
Source: RNAcentral